AAGUCGUAACAAGGUUUCCGUAGGUGAACCUGCGGAAGGAUCAUUAACACGUAUCCAACGUUAAAAACACCCCUGUGAACCCGUUAAUCUUGCUCCUCACGCCCUGCACGCCUAGCAAUCCCUGGUAAAUCAUUGUCUGAACAGAUUUUGAGUCAGGGACUUCUGACGUGACGCGAAGAAUGGUAUUGAUACUCCAUCUGCGUGGGAUGACAUGCGACGUAGCAAAUCACUUGGCUCCCCAAGCAACCAUACGCUGUAACGUUUUGCUGUAGGCCAACACGGCCGGCAAUCCAAGUGGUUGUACUUCGGUACCCUCACAUCGGCACACCACCGAUGAUAUGUCAAUUUCGCGAAUGGACUAAAAGCCUCGCACCAAAAACCGAACAACUGUUAACAAUGGAUAUCUUGGUUCUC
Molecule: unclassified non-coding RNA, 414 nt
Filed under: fungal sp.
Lineage: Eukaryota; Fungi
Description: partial internal transcribed spacer region
Rfam family: Eukaryotic small subunit ribosomal RNA (bases 1-46)
Source: RNAcentral